RNAcentral lists this transfer RNA (67 nucleotides) under Mycopsylla gardenensis. RNAcentral's name for it is "tRNA-Thr". The record is from RNAcentral. Lineage: Eukaryota; Metazoa; Arthropoda; Insecta; Hemiptera; Carsidaridae.
CUUUAAUAAUUUAAAUUAAAAAUAUUGAUUUUGUAAAUCAAAAUUACUAAAAUUUUGUUUAAAGCAU